ACGGGCGUGGUGAAGCGGUAUCACAAUGGUCUCCAAAACCAUUAUCGCAGGUUCGAUUCCUGCCGCCCGUG
Molecule: transfer RNA, 71 nt
Filed under: Parcubacteria group bacterium
Lineage: Bacteria
Also listed under: 1 other name
Description: tRNA-Trp
Rfam family: tRNA
About the family: Transfer RNA (tRNA) molecules are approximately 80 nucleotides in length. Their secondary structure includes four short double-helical elements and three loops (D, anti-codon, and T loops).
Source: RNAcentral